AAGCCAUGCAUGUCUAAGUAUAAGCAAUCUAUACGGUGAAACUGCGAAUGGCUCAUUAAAUCAGUUAUCGUUUAUUUGAUAGUACCUUACUACUUGGAUAACCGUGGUAAUUCUAGAGCUAAUACAUGCUAAAAACCUCGACUUCGGAAGGGGUGUAUUUAUUAGAUAAAAAACCAAUGCCCUUCGGGGCUCCUUGGUGAUUCAUAAUAACUUAACGAAUCGCAUGGCCUUGUGCCGGCGAUGGUUCAUUCAAAUUUCCGCCCUAUCAACUUUCGAUGGUAGAGUAGUGGUCUACCAUGGUUU
RNAcentral lists this ribosomal RNA (303 nucleotides) under uncultured fungus. Its description in RNAcentral is "SSU rRNA". It matches the Rfam family "Eukaryotic small subunit ribosomal RNA", at positions 46 to 352 of the family's 1831-position model. Lineage: Eukaryota; Fungi. The record is from RNAcentral.